This 646-nucleotide long non-coding RNA is filed under the name Homo sapiens (human). RNAcentral describes it as "HSALNT0399059". Lineage: Eukaryota; Metazoa; Chordata; Mammalia; Primates; Hominidae. The record is from RNAcentral.
AGACGGCGCACUGGAAGGCGCGCACGCCGGUGUGCGUGACCAUGUGUUUGAGCAGGUAGUCGCGUAGAGAGAAGGAUCGCCAGCACACGGCGCACUGGUGCGGCUUCUCCCCUGCGGAAGACAGGGCGGGCCGCGAACGCAAGUCAGACUCUACAGCUCCCCGCCCCCACCCCACCCCACCCCCACCUGGGCUCCUGGACCUAGCAGGGGCUCCCCUCCCCUCCCGAACCACCACCCCGGGAUCCCUUGCCUAUCAGAGAACCCUCCCCUCACUAUGGGAUCUUCCUGCCCAGCAGGGACACCCCCUCCUCUCCAGGACCUCCCUUCACGUUGGGACUUUCCUGCCCAACAGGGAUCCUCAUACACUGUGAGGUACCCCUCUCCCAUCCCUUCCUGGCAGGGACCCCCUUUCUGUUAUCCUGGGAUAUCACUGUGACAGGGCACCCCUAAAUCCAGCAAGCACCCUGUCUGCAAGGAACCCAGCCUGUCUGGAACAUCUGUUGGCCAUCUGGACUGCCCACUGGGAUCUCCCUCUACCCUCAGCCAGGCGUGGUGGCUCACACCUGUAAUCCCAGCACUUUGGGAGGCCAAGGCAGGCAGAUCGCUUGAGGCCAGGAGUUCGAGACCAACGUGGUGAAACCCCAUC